This 335-nucleotide ribosomal RNA is filed under the name Bacillus cereus. RNAcentral describes it as "bacterial LSU rRNA". It matches the Rfam family "Bacterial large subunit ribosomal RNA", at positions 1135 to 1477 of the family's 2925-position model. Lineage: Bacteria; Bacillati; Bacillota; Bacilli; Caryophanales; Bacillaceae. The record is from RNAcentral.
UAAUAGCUCACUAGUCGAGUCGGCCUGCGCGGAAGAUGUAACGGGGCUCAAACCAUACACCGAAGCUACGGGUAUCACUUAGGUGAUGCGGUAGAGGAGCGUUCUGUAAGCCUGUGAAGGUGAGUUGAGAAGCUUGCUGGAGGUAUCAGAAGUGCGAAUGCUGACAUGAGUAACGACAAUGGGUGUGAAAAACACCACGCCGAAAGACCAAGGUUUCCUGCGCAACGUUAAUCGACGCAGGGUUAGUCGGUCCCUAAGGCGAGGCUGAAAAGCGUAGUCGAUGGAAAACAGGUUAAUAUUCCUGUACUUCUGGUUAUUGCGAUGGAGGGACGGAG